This 1615-nucleotide long non-coding RNA is filed under the name Macaca fascicularis (crab-eating macaque). Its description in RNAcentral is "lncRNA (ENSMFAG00000058710.1)". Lineage: Eukaryota; Metazoa; Chordata; Mammalia; Primates; Cercopithecidae. The record is from RNAcentral.
GCACUACAGCCUGGGCACCAGAGUGAGACUCCAUCUUAAAAAAAAAAAAAAGAGAGAGAGAGAGAGAGCAUUAUACAGAGAACAAAUUGAGUACCUUUUUUUAGAAUGGUAGAGUGUCAGUAACCACUCAUACCUGUGGGGGGGAAGAAAAAGGCUUCAAACUUUGCGCACUUCUGACCCUUCCAUGAAAAUAGAGGGACCUUAUUUAAGGCUAGUUUUGUGGUGGUGGAAUCUGAGCACUGCUGAGUGUUAACAAAAGGGAAUGAAUUGAUGCCAUAUUUAGAGACCAAAAAUGCCAUCAUUUUCACCUGCCUGAAGUCUUCUGUUGUUUUCCCUAGUUGCUGCCUUGCGCUUUUUCCGCAGUACAGGGAGAGAAAUCAGUUGUCUGGCUGUCUAAACUCAUGGCAUCUGCUUAGCAGUUUCACCAGCUCAUGGUUGGGACUCAUCCCUCUGUCAGAAUCCUUUGCUCCAUUAGAAGGGAGGCUGGGACCAGGCUCCUGAAUUGAUUUGCAUACUUCCACUUUACCUAGCUCAGACAACAUAUGGCCAUGUGGAGCACUUGGAUUUAUUUCUGUUUCCUCAAAUUAAAUUCCUGAAAAAUUGGAGAACUCCACAGUUUGUUUUGUGUUACAAAAAAUUUUAGUUCCUUUUUUGAUCAGCAAAGCAACACAAUUUUGGCAUUAAAAAAAAAAUCUCUGGAUUACUUGAAAAAGAGAAUGUUGAUUUGAUUUGCUUCCCCCCUUCUCUUACCCCUUUCAGGAAAAAAAAUUUAUGUUGAAUCUUAAAACACUGCAUCAUGUUGCAAAAUGUCCAUUUAGGCACACUGAAUAGAAAGUAUCAUCAAGUCAUUUUUAUUCUUGUAAUUCAGUAAUUUUGUAUCUUUUGCCUUUUUCUCUUUCCUUAAUGUUAAUUGUGUAACUAAAUGUCUCAAACUUGGGACUUUUCACUUUACACAUCCCUGUGUAAAAAUACGUAGAGUCAGAUAGAAAAAAAUAAGACUCAGUGUUAAUAGAUCAGUGAGGCGGGGGACUAUACUUAACAGUAGUAUGUUGUACAUUUCACAAUAGCCAGAAGAGAACAAUUCAAAUAUUCUUAACAUAAAAGAUAAAUAUGUAAGGUGAUAGGCAUUCUAAUUAAUCUAAUAUGAUCUUUACACAUUAUAUAAAUGUAUCAAAUUACCACAUGUACUCCCCGUUAAUAAUAUUGUAUAUCAGUGAAUUUUUUAAAAAAAGAAAUAGAUAUAAUCAUACAAUGAAUAACUGGAUUAAUGUGAAAUGAUACAAAAAGUUACCAUUUUAGGCUGGCUGUGGUGACCCACACCUGUAAUACCAGCACUUUGUGAGGCUGAGGCAGGAGGAUUGCUUGAGGCCAGGAGUUUGAGACCAGCCUGGUUAACAAUACUAGACCCCCUUUCUAAAAAAAAACAAAAACAAAACAAAACAAAAAAACCCAAGUACAGCAGCAUGUGCCUGUAGUCCUAGCUACUCAGGAGGCAGAGGUGAGAGGAUCACGGAUCACUUGAGGAGUUUGAGGUUGCAGGGAGCUAUGAUCCUAUCACUGCACUCCAGCCAGGGUGACAGAGCAAGACCCUGUUUCAAAAGAAAAAAAGAAAAAA